CUCUGGCUGUAGCCAGGGGGAAGAAGCUCUUACAGACAAGCUGCUUGGAGAUGCUUGUUUUACUGCUGGUUGUGAAAAUUUGUUUACUUCCUAGUUCAAGGCCCAAACACGGUGACAUCACUAUAUCUGAGGACAACUGGAUACCUCUGGGCAUACCACAAAACGAAGGAACAGUGCACCUGGUCCCUUUCUCCCUCUUCUUGAAGGCUCCUGAGGAAAGUGUGGGCAGAAGCUGAAGGACUCAAGUAUAAUGCUUUGUUUAAAUUCAUACUGAGAUUGUUAACUGAAAGGGUGCAAUGGACUAAAAUACACCUAUAUUUUUAAUACUUAGUCCAGAGCAAUGGACUAAAAUAUACUUAAAGUUGUGACUUAGUCAUGUAAAUGUUUAAAAUACAUGUUUAAACAUUUGCAAUAUUGUAUUUGCAUGUAUGGACAUGCCAAUUUAGCAAAUGUUAGCCAACUUACCUAAAUCUUUUCCUGAUAAAAAGAUUACAAAAUAGGUGCACAAAUCCCAUCUCAGAUCUCCAUGCUUGACCUUACUACCAAUAUUUUGCCCUUUUGAUACACAUGAAUCUACCUACAGGGAUGUCACAAGUUACUGAGCAAAUGCACCUGCAUUGCUCUAGACAGAUGGAAUAAAAACUUUUUAGGCUAUAAAGCAAUAUAAGAUACACUAUGAAAAUAAUUGUUUGGAUGCUUGUUUUUUUCCUACAUGAACUAGUGUUUAGGUGCUUCUGUUUUUGAGUGCUUAAUACAAUACAGCGAUUUCAAACUCAUCUAGCCCUGCAGGCCACAUGAGUGUCAUUGGGCUGCUCUGUGGGCUGGAUUGGAACUGUCCCCCUGUGCCACAGGUAAUGCCCCAUGGCAACAGAUCCAGCUCAGGUACUGCAUGCAGCAUAUGCCAGCUGCACUCCAGAGCUCAUGAUGCAUGUGAUGUGUGGGCUAGACCCGGAGCUGCUUGCACUGCUGGCUCUAGC
Gavialis gangeticus (Gharial) is the source of this 977-nucleotide long non-coding RNA. RefSeq lists it as uncharacterized. Lineage: Eukaryota; Metazoa; Chordata; Crocodylia; Gavialidae. The transcript is spliced from 3 exons. The record is from RefSeq and is a predicted model, not a curated record.